Molecule: ribosomal RNA, 534 nt
Filed under: Crocidura theresae (Therese's shrew)
Lineage: Eukaryota; Metazoa; Chordata; Mammalia; Eulipotyphla; Soricidae
Description: partial 16S ribosomal RNA
Rfam family: Bacterial large subunit ribosomal RNA
Source: RNAcentral
CACCUCUAGCAUUACCAGUUUUAGAGGCACUGCCUGCCCAGUGACAUUAGUUAAACGGCCGCGGUAUCCUGACCGUGCAAAGGUAGCAUAAUCAUUUGUUCCUUAAUUAGGGACUUGUAUGAAUGGCCCCACGAGGGUUUAACUGUCUCUUACUUUUAAUCAGUGAAAUUGACCUUCCCGUGAAGAGGCGGGAAUAUGACAAUAAGACGAGAAGACCCUAUGGAGCUUAAAUUAAUAUGCUCAACAAAAUUUAAAUUUAACCCAACAGGAAUAAUCACAAUUUAACUGAGCAACAAAUUUUGGUUGGGGUGACCUCGGAGUAUAACAAAACCUCCGAGUGAUUUUAACUAAGACACACUCGUCAAAGUUACAUAACUUAUUGAUCCAAUCAUAUUGAUCAACGAAACAAGUUACCCUAGGGAUAACAGCGCAAUCCUAUUCGAGAGUUCAUAUCGACAAUAGGGUUUACGACCUCGAUGUUGGAUCAGGACACCCAAAUGGUGCAGCAGCUAUUAAAGGUUCGUUUGUUCAACG